This 253-nucleotide ribosomal RNA is filed under the name uncultured bacterium. Its description in RNAcentral is "partial 16S ribosomal RNA". It matches the Rfam family "Bacterial small subunit ribosomal RNA", at positions 524 to 776 of the family's 1533-position model. The record is from RNAcentral.
UACGGAGGGGGCUAGCGUUGUUCGGAAUUACUGGGCGUAAAGCGCACGUAGGCGGCUUUACAAGUCAGGGGUGAAAGCCCGCGGCUCAACCGCGGAAUUGCCCUUGAGACUGUAUCGCUUGAACACGGGAGAGGUGAGUGGAAUUCCGAGUGUAGAGGUGAAAUUCGUAGAUAUUCGGAAGAACACCAGUGGCGAAGGCGGCUCACUGGACCGUAGUUGACGCUGAGGCGCGAAAGCGUGGGGAGCAAACAGG